RNAcentral lists this RNase P RNA (306 nucleotides) under Candidatus Bathyarchaeota archaeon. RNAcentral's name for it is "RNase P RNA component". It matches the Rfam family "Archaeal RNase P". From Rfam's summary of the family: Ribonuclease P (RNase P) is a ubiquitous endoribonuclease, found in archaea, bacteria and eukarya as well as chloroplasts and mitochondria. Its best characterised activity is the generation of mature 5'-ends of tRNAs by cleaving the 5'-leader elements of precursor-tRNAs. The record is from RNAcentral. Lineage: Archaea; Thermoproteati; Candidatus Bathyarchaeota.
GCGAGUUGGUGUGUGGCUUUCGAGCCUUACGCGAUAGGCUUGAGGAAACUCCGCCCACAUGUAGAAUUGCAACAUCCGCAAGGGUGUAAGGUGAGAGCCUUGGCUCCGGAGCAGAAACGAAACGUCCAUUCAGCAAGAGCCGAUGAUACAUGCUAAGUUGUUGAGAAUGCUGGGUGCGAAGCGGUGAAACGGCCGUCCUGCAAGUGGAAAGGGCAAACAGACGCCUGUGAGGAAUCUACCUAAGGCGCGGGUAGCCCGAUUAGCCGAAUGCCACAAAGAACAAAAGGCGGGUUACGACCAACACAC